UACGAAGGGGGCUAGCGUUGUUCGGAAUCACUGGGCGUAAAGCGCACGUAGGCGGAUUUGCCAGUCAGGGGUGAAAUCCCGGGGCUCAACCCCGGAACUGCCCUUGAUACAGCAAAUCUCGAGUCCGGAAGAGGUGAGUGGAAUUCCUAGUGUAGAGGUGAAAUUCGUAGAUAUUGGGAAGAACACCAGUGGCGAAGGCGGCUCACUGGCCCGUAACCGACGCUGAGGUGCGAAAGCGUGGGGAGCAAACAGG
This 253-nucleotide ribosomal RNA is filed under the name uncultured bacterium. RNAcentral describes it as "partial 16S ribosomal RNA". It matches the Rfam family "Bacterial small subunit ribosomal RNA", at positions 524 to 776 of the family's 1533-position model. The record is from RNAcentral.